GUAGUCAUGGCCGAGUGGUUAAGGCGAAAGACUAGAAAUCUUUCCGCGUAGCUUCGAAUCCUACUGACUACG
Caerostris darwini is the source of this 72-nucleotide non-coding RNA. NCBI's taxonomy places the organism in Eukaryota, Metazoa, Arthropoda, Arachnida, Araneae, Araneidae. The record is from the annotation of a GenBank genome assembly.